Molecule: long non-coding RNA, 539 nt
Filed under: Gossypium barbadense (sea-island cotton)
Lineage: Eukaryota; Viridiplantae; Streptophyta; Magnoliopsida; Malvales; Malvaceae
Description: long non-coding RNA (GBAR_LNC020510)
Source: RNAcentral
ACCUUUCUAUUCUCAACGCUUACUCUCUUUGACUCUAUUCAAAUAUCUCUUUAAGGAAUUUGAUAUUUGGGUGCGAUUUAAGAGCUAUUAACUGCCUAGACUCUUUCAUUUUGCAUUGUUCAUAAAAAUCAAAUGAAUAUGACAGGUGAAACUGCAAUUGCCUGGGAUCAUAGAGGCUCUCAAUUUUUGUUCAUCCGAAGCUUUACACUGUGUUUGGUUCGCCGUAUUACCCAAUCCAUUACGCCCCGAUUACGUGCGUAUUACAUUACGCCCCUAUUCCGGCGUUUGGUUCGCUGUAAUAGGUAUUACGCGCGUAAUCGGUUACGCCCCUAAUCCCCAAAUUCCCGUGUUUUCCAAUCCCUUCCCUUUUCGCUGUAUUAGCUAUUACUUCCGGCCUCCCUCCCCAUCUCCCUGUUUUACCCUCCCUCCCUACCCGACCCUCUCCUCUUCCGUCCUAAUCAUUUUCUCCUCCCAUUUCCCACUUCUUCCGUUGAUUAUUCUGUCGUGAAAUUUUAGGCAAAAGGUCUUCCGUGCAUGAA